RNAcentral lists this ribosomal RNA (253 nucleotides) under uncultured bacterium. RNAcentral describes it as "partial 16S ribosomal RNA". It matches the Rfam family "Bacterial small subunit ribosomal RNA", at positions 524 to 776 of the family's 1533-position model. The record is from RNAcentral.
UACGUAGGGUGCAAGCGUUGUCCGGAUUUACUGGGCGUAAAGAGCGCGCAGGCGGUCGUUCAAGUCGAGUGUGAAAGCCCCCGGCUCAACUGGGGAGGGUCACUCGAUACUGAUCGACUCGAAGGCAGGAGAGGGAAGUGGAAUUCCCGGUGUAGUGGUGAAAUGCGUAGAUAUCGGGAGGAACACCAGUGGCGAAGGCGACUUCCUGGCCUGUUCUUGACGCUGAGGCGCGAAAGCUAGGGGAGCAAACGGG